AGCGAACGCUGGCGGCAGGCCUAACACAUGCAAGUCGAACGAACUCUUCGGAGUUAGUGGCGGACGGGUGAGUAACACGUGGGAACGUGCCUUUAGGUUCGGAAUAACUCAGGGAAACUUGUGCUAAUACCGAAUGUGCCCUUCGGGGGAAAGAUUUAUCGCCUUUAGAGCGGCCCGCGUCUGAUUAGCUAGUUGGUGAGGUAAAGGCUCACCAAGGCGCCGAUCAGUAGCUGGUCUGAGAGGAUGAUCAGCCACAUUGGGAAUGAGACACGGCCCAAACUCCUACGGGAGGCAGCAGUGGGGAAUCUUGCGCAAUGGGCGAAAGCCUGACGCAGCCAUGCCGGGUGAAUGAUGAAGGUCUUAGGAUUGUAAAAUUCUUUCACCGGGGACGAUAAUGACGGUACCCGGAGAAGAAGCCCCGGCUAACUUCGUG
Molecule: ribosomal RNA, 433 nt
Filed under: uncultured bacterium
Lineage: Bacteria
Description: partial 16S ribosomal RNA
Rfam family: Bacterial small subunit ribosomal RNA
Source: RNAcentral